This 429-nucleotide ribosomal RNA is filed under the name Gemmatimonadota bacterium. RNAcentral's name for it is "Gemmatimonadetes bacterium partial 16S ribosomal RNA". It matches the Rfam family "Bacterial small subunit ribosomal RNA", at positions 355 to 776 of the family's 1533-position model. Lineage: Bacteria; Pseudomonadati; Gemmatimonadota. The record is from RNAcentral.
UAGGGAAUCUUCGGCAAUGGACGAAAGUCUGACCGAGCAACGCCGCGUGAGUGAAGAAGGUUUUCGGAUCGUAAAACUCUGUUGUUAGAGAAGAACAAGGACGUUAGUAACUGAACGUCCCCUGACGGUAUCUAACCAGAAAGCCACGGCUAACUACGUGCCAGCCGCCGCGGUAGUACGUAGGUGGCAAGCGUUGUCCGGCUUUAUUGGGCGUAAAGCGAGCGCAGGCGGUUUCUUAAGUCUGAUGUGAAAGCCCCCGGCUCAACCGGGGAGGGUGAUUGGGAACGGGGAGACGUGAGUGCAGAAGAGGAGAGUGGAAUUCCAUGUGUAGCGGUGAAAUGCGUAGAUAUAUGGAGGAACACCAGUGGCGAAGGCGGGUCUCUGGUCUGUAACUGACGCUGAGGAUCGAAGGCGUGGGGGGCAAACAGA